AGUUGGUCUCGGUGGCUUUGACUGUUCUCUCUAUGUAUCCUUUGGAAAUGGAAGGCAACUCGAACCCAAAGACGACCAACAAGCCCAAGUAUUCCAAGUUUACGCAGCAGGAGCUUCCAGCAUGCAAGCCACUACUCACACCUGAAAUCGUCAUUGCCGCCUUUGCGCUCAUUGGCGCCCUGUUUGUUCCCAUCGGGCUUGCGUCGCUGCAUGCAUCACGACAGGUUGUCGAACUGGUGCAUAGAUAUGAUGCAAGUUGUGUGCCCGUGGAUGACAAGGUUGGGUUCAUCCAGAACUCCAGGACUGACAAAACAUGCACAAUAACGAUGACUGUGCCAAAAUACAUGAAGAGCCCAAUCCAUGUCCAUUACCUGAUCGACGGCUUCUAUCAAAACCAUCGAAGGUAUGUGAGAAGUCGAAGUGACAAACAACUGCGUUAUAAGAGUGCUGCACAUUUGACAUCGGAUUGUGUGCCUGAAGGUGAUACCGCUGAUCAUGCUCCAAUUGUUCCAUGUGGCCUUGUUGCUUGGAGUUUGUUCAACGACACAUAUACAGUUCGGGUCAAUGGGGUGGUUACUCAAGUGAAUAAAAAGGACAUAGCUUGGAAGAGUGACAAGAACAAUAAAUUCGGCAAGAAUAUCUAUCCCAGUAACUUCCAGAAGGGAAGGCUUAUAGGUGGCGCUACACUAAAUGAGAGCAUACCAUUAAGUGAGCAAGAAGAUCUCAUUGUCUGGAUGAGAACUGCUGCCCUCCCAACUUUCAGGAAGCUGUAUGGCAGAAUUGAGAAAGAUAUCAAUGCAAAUGAUAAUGUAACAGUGGUUAUACAGAACAACUAUAACACAUAUAGUUUUGGAGGAUCAAAAGCGUUGGUCCUUUCUACUGCAUCUUGGAUUGGAGGAAAAAACAACUUCAUUGGUUUUGCAUAUCUGACUAUUGGUGGUUUGUGCCUUUCCCUUGCUAUGGGCUUCUUAGUUCUCUACAUAGUUAAACGAAGGAACUUUGCAGACCCCUCGAACCUCUCAUGGAAUAGAUGAAUAGAGUUAACUAUUAGACUGGAGUAUCCUGUCUGAGAAUAAAAGAUCAUUCAAUGGGUAAAUUCUUCCAGUUGGAUCUAUGGGUGUCUGUUCUUAUUCCCAUUCACUGGGCUUGUCAUGGCUCAUAGGCAUGAGGAUCUUGUUGACUUUGGAGCCGUAAUAGCAUCAUACAUACAUGAACAGAAUGUAUUGUGAUCGGUUGACUUAAAUCUUAUCUGACCUUAUCUGACCAUACCGAGAGUCGUUUCUGAAUGCUUAUUAUGAAUUAUGAACCAACUAAUUGUGCUUAUGGGAGGAGAUAC
This 1336-nucleotide ribosomal RNA is filed under the name Triticum aestivum (bread wheat). Its description in RNAcentral is "partial small subunit ribosomal RNA". Lineage: Eukaryota; Viridiplantae; Streptophyta; Magnoliopsida; Poales; Poaceae. The record is from RNAcentral.